Molecule: non-coding RNA, 150 nt
Organism: Enterococcus avium ATCC 14025
Lineage: Bacteria; Bacillati; Bacillota; Bacilli; Lactobacillales; Enterococcaceae
Source: Rfam
AAUAGUUAUUUUAUGAAAAGGAUAAAUGGAAACCAGUGUAAAUCUGGUACGGUGCCGCCACUGUGAGAAGCAGCGCAUGCUUUGUAGUCAGAUCUUUUUAUUCUUUUCAUUAGCGGGCAUGCUGUUUCGUUGCAAAGCAGGAUGUUUUCU